CGGACGGGUGCGUAACGCGUAGGAAUCUGCCUAUUAGUGGGGGACAACGUGGUGAAAACCACGCUAAUACCGCAUACGCCCUACGGGGGAAAGCGGGGGAUCUUCGGACCUCGCGCUAUUAGAUGAGCCUGCGUUAGAUUAGCUAGUUGGUGAGGUAAUGGCUCACCAAGGCGACGAUCUAUAGCUGGUCUGAGAGGACGAUCAGCCACACUGGGACUGAGACACGGCCCAG
RNAcentral lists this ribosomal RNA (232 nucleotides) under uncultured bacterium. Its description in RNAcentral is "partial 16S ribosomal RNA". It matches the Rfam family "Bacterial small subunit ribosomal RNA", at positions 99 to 334 of the family's 1533-position model. The record is from RNAcentral.